Molecule: ribosomal RNA, 500 nt
Filed under: uncultured bacterium
Lineage: Bacteria
Description: bacterial SSU rRNA
Rfam family: Bacterial small subunit ribosomal RNA
Source: RNAcentral
UUGUCCACGCCGUAAACGAUGUUCACUCGAUGUAUGCGAUAUACAGUAUGCGUCCAAGCGAAAGCGUUAAGUGAUCCACCUGGGGAGUACGAUCGCAAGAUUGAAACUCAAAGGAAUUGACGGGGGCCCGCACAAGCGGUGGAGCAUGUGGUUUAAUUCGAUGAUACGCGAAGAACCUUACCAGGGCUUAAAUGCAGGACGACCGGUCUGGAAACAGACCUUUCUUCGGACGGCUUGCAAGGUGCUGCAUGGUUGUCGUCAGCUCGUGCCGUGAGGUGUCGGGUUAAGUCCCAUAACGAGCGCAACCCCUAUCUUUAGUUGCCAGCGGGUCAUGCCGGGGACUCUAAAGAAACUGCCAGCGUAAGCUGUGAGGAAGGUGGGGAUGACGUCAAAUCAUCACGGCCCUUACGUCCUGGGCUACACACGUGCUACAAUGGCGGAGACAGUGAGAUGCCAACUUGCGAGAGUGAGCAAAUCUAAAAACUACCGUCUCAGUUCGG